CUCCGGCUGCCGUAGGACCGCGGGGCCGCCGCUCCGUCGGCGACAUCUUGGUGGAGGACGCGCGGCGGGGAAAAGGCCGCUCGCGCCGGAGCCGCGGCGCCGCGAUCUCCGCUGACCUCGGGACGCGCGGGAGCGUCCGCCCGCCGGUCCGGGCGGGGCUCCGGGUUUGAACGGCGCGGCGGGCCGCGCCUGGGAGUCGGGGCCCGUAGGCGGCGGCGGCGGCGGCGGCACCAUGUCCCCGGGCAGCGGGGUGCAGAGCGAGUACAUGAAGCGCUACCGGGAGCCGCGCUGGGACGAGUACGCGCCGUGCUACCGGGAGCUGCUGCGCUACCGCCUGGGCCGCCGGCUGCUGGAGCAGGCGCACGCGCCCUGGCUGUGGGACGCCUGGGGCCCGGACGGCUCGGACGCCGAGCCCUCGCCCAGCCCGGCGCCCAGGGCCGCGUCCGCGGAGGACGGCCGGCCGGCGGGGGAGCGCGGCGCGGAGCUGCGGGACGCCGAGGAGCCGAGCGCGGCGCGGCCAGCAUCGCCAGUAAAAGGCAUAGACGAGAAACCUGAACAGCAAGCCGGGACAAAAGAGGCUGACAGGGCGGCCAGCGGCCCGGAGCCCCGACAGCAUCCUGGUGUCUUAUUUGCCAAAGGAAGUAAGAAAGCCCCUGGAAGCCCCCAAAGGUCAACCAGCAAAACAAAAGAGAAGAAGCACCCAUUUGCCCUUUACGGCUGGGGAGAGAAACGGACGGACACGGGGAACCAGAAGACACACAACGUCUGCGCCUCAGCCUCUGUCCAUGAGAUUCACGAGUCAGCACUUCGAGCCAAGAACAGAAGACAGGUGGAGAGAAGGAGGCUGGCUGCCCAGAGGCAGCGGGCGCACUCUGCGGACGAGGAGAAGGGCCAGAGCGCAAAGCCGCCUCCCGCGGAGAACCCCUGGCUCACGGAGUACAUGCGCUGCUACUCGGCCCGGGCGUAGCUGCCCGACCUCCUCUCCGUGCGUUCACGCGGUCCCAACCUCCUCUCCGUGCUCACGCGGUCCCGACCUCCUCUCCAUGCGCGGCCAAGCGAGGCCGCUCACGGCUGGAAGAAACCGCCCUGCAGGGCCCCUCGGAGAGGCGGCUCCGCUUUCCUGGUGGUCGGCCGCCCGCCCUAAGUGGGGCCGACCAUGGAAGCCAUAUGUGUUGGCUUGCUUAUGAAGACAAGUCCCCAAGGCCUGACGUUCUCGCAGGAGUUUUAUUUCAGCGAUUUUAGUCUAAGGAGACCCCCACACCGAAUGCCUUUAACUGGCUCUAGGCGCUUCCUGUCCCCGCCCUCCUGCUGUCCUUUCUGACCCCACUCCACAGCUGGCAGGGCAUCCCCCAGUGCAGGACUCAGCGGCCCAUCUGUGCAGUCCGCCUUGCAGGGAGCGCCCAGGAAAGCGAGGGCAUCGCGUGGAUCAGAGCUGCUCCGGGCACACCGGCAGCUGCGGAGGCUACGCUGGUGUGUUUCACUGCAUCUUCACGUAGACUGUGAGACUGAAGAAGUUUCUGGCCAGAGCAAGGGUCACCCUUUCUCCUUAAAUCACCACCUAGGCAUUUCAUUCCUAUGUAGUUGACUCGUUCUGGUACACCCGACUUGUGCAAGACACAGCCCCAUAUCAUGAGGUGGAUCCGCUCCUGGGGCACAUCCCAGCAAGAACAUUUCGAAUAUGACAGCAUGAGGACCAGCUGCCCUUCACCCAGGCCUUCUAAGGCACCUGGGCCAGCACCAUGGAUGGUGUCCCGGGAAUGCAGUGAUUACUGAUCCUUAAUACUUCUUCUUGUAUGCAAAGCUGAAGACCCUUUAUUCACAAGAGCUUUUAAAUAAUUGAUAUUUUCUGAAGAUUUUUAAAAGCCUCUACAAGAAGCAGUUUCUGGUCAUCUCCAGGCAUUUUUUAGCUUCACGGACUUUUGGUUGGGGUCUGUAGGCAGCAGGAGACGGAGAGUUUAUGAAUCCUCAUUCCCGCUCUAUAGCUCAUCCUGGGUUUCCUAAAUAGUAACAAAGCUUCCUGUAUUUAGGGAAAGUUUCAUCCAUUGCUUUAGCUUAUUCUGAGUGCCACAUUCACUUCAGGGGCCCAGCGUGCUGCUGCUCACUUGGCUCACCUGUCCUUAACUUGUAUACCAAAGGAAACUGAGGCAACAGGGGACCUCAGGGUCACAGGUAGGGCAGGUCCAAACAGCACAGCCAGGACUUCAGGAAUUGAUGCCAAACUGGGGUCAUAGUGACAGGAAGUGGGUUCAAACAAUUCCACAGGGCUAACUAAAUGUGACAGCCACAGUGGUGCAGGGACGAGGUCAUGAGGCAGCCCCAGUGCAGGGGUGAGGUCCUGCCACUCAGCAUCCAGACUGGGGGCUCAGGAGGAAAGACAGAAGAUUCCGAUACAGGCACUAAUGUAGCCCUAAUAAGCAAUGAAAACGCUGAAAAGAUUAGACUGUGAAUGGUCAGGAAGGAAACAGAUGCCAUGGAGAACCAAGCGAAUGGGCAAGUGUGUGGGUGCACAUCUUAAUCCCAGACCUGGGGAGGCAGAGGCAGGAGAACUGCACCAUUGAAGCCAGCCUGGGCUACAGGGCAUUUCAGGUCAGUCAGGGUGACAGAGCAAGCCUGGACAAACAAAUCUGAAAUGAAAAUGGAACCGUGGCUGAGCACAGCUGGAGAAUCUCAGUGAAGGGAGAGGAGAGAGAUCCACCAGUCUGAGCAGCAGAAAGACGGAAAGAAGCAGAGCCUCGUGGGGUGUGGAAGACGGGAAAGACAAACAGCGAAGGCUUCGAAAGGUCAGAAUGAGCAAGGCUGGGAACCCCCAAACUAAUGAAAGGAGUGAACCCCGCGUGAGAGGGACCCAAAGAAGUGCGCUGAGCAAGCGCGGGCCCACCCAGUGCUGAGAGGCUGAGGCAGGGGGACUGAGACCAUUUCAGGUUAUGUCGGGUGCUCAGUCCCACAGACACCCAUUAGGCCACAUCCUCAAGCUGCCCAGAGCCAAGACGCCACGGAGUGCUCUAAGGAAGCCCUGUCGCACUGACGGUUUGAGUGAGGGCAGAUUCUUCACAGACCAUGGAAGCCAGAGGAAGUGGGUCAUCGGAGUGAAAGGAAAGUGUCCACUGGGAGCCCUGUAUCCAGGGCUGGGCACGUUGGCACGCACUGUAAUCCCAACAUGAGGGAGAUGGAGUUAGGACUGCCAUGACUAUGGGGCCCGGCUAGGCUGUAGUGAGACCCUGUCUCAAAUCUUACAGUGAGAUAUGUAACACUAAAAAUGUCUAAGCUGAAAGAGGGCUGGCUCAGAGAGGCUGAGAAGCAUUAAAAAUGCAAAAGCAGCAAACCGUAUCCAUGAGUACUGUGCUGCCUUGGCAUUUCCAUGGCAGCCGUGACUCGAAGACGCCGAGGCUUCCUGGGACCACCCGACUCUGCGGAAAGUGUGAGCGCCCCGCCCAGGGAGUGACGCAG
Molecule: RNA transcript, 3447 nt
Organism: Meriones unguiculatus (Mongolian gerbil)
Lineage: Eukaryota; Metazoa; Chordata; Mammalia; Rodentia; Muridae
Gene: Ccsap
Gene name: centriole, cilia and spindle associated protein
Exons: 5
Source: RefSeq, a predicted model, not a curated record